AUUAAAUAUAAAGCGCCUGAACUGAUCCUGGACGUAAGGAUCAGUUGACGAGGAGGAGGUUUAUCGAAUGUUCGGCGGAUGCCUCCCGGUUGAAAGCACAACCGAUGAUUUCUUCUUUAAAACAUUCUGGCAACUGAAUGCACAAAGAGAAGGGAAUGCUAAAAC
RNAcentral lists this non-coding RNA (165 nucleotides) under Bacillus sp. (in: firmicutes). RNAcentral describes it as "Bacillus sp. GlcN6P sequence". It matches the Rfam family "glmS glucosamine-6-phosphate activated ribozyme aptamer". Rfam says of the family: This entry contains a glucosamine-6-phosphate activated ribozyme that is found in the mRNA for GlmS. GlmS is an enzyme that uses fructose-6-phosphate and glutamine to generate glucosamine-6-phosphate. The record is from RNAcentral. Lineage: Bacteria; Bacillati; Bacillota; Bacilli; Caryophanales; Bacillaceae.